UACGUAGGGUCCGAGCGUUGUCCGGAAUUACUGGGCGUAAAGAGCUCGUAGGUGGUUUGUCGCGUUGUUCGUGAAAACUCACAGCUCAACUGUGGGCGUGCGGGCGAUACGGGCAGACUGGAGUACUGCAGGGGAGACUGGAAUUCCUGGUGUAGCGGUGGAAUGCGCAGAUAUCAGGAGGAACACCGGUGGCGAAGGCGGGUCUUUGGGCAGUAACUGACGCUGAGGAGCGAAAGCGUGGGGAGCGAACAGG
Molecule: ribosomal RNA, 253 nt
Filed under: uncultured bacterium
Lineage: Bacteria
Description: partial 16S ribosomal RNA
Rfam family: Bacterial small subunit ribosomal RNA
Source: RNAcentral